RNAcentral lists this ribosomal RNA (440 nucleotides) under uncultured bacterium. Its description in RNAcentral is "partial 16S ribosomal RNA". It matches the Rfam family "Bacterial small subunit ribosomal RNA", at positions 338 to 795 of the family's 1533-position model. The record is from RNAcentral.
CCUACGGGAGGCAGCAGUGGGGGAUAUUGCACAAUGGGGGGAACCCUGAUGCAGCGACGCCGCGUGGGUGAAGAAGCGCCUCGGCGCGUAAAGCCCUGUCAGCCGGGAAGAAAAUGACGGUACCUGAAGAAGAAGCCACGGAUAACUACGUGCCAGCAGCCGCGGUAAUACGUAGGGGGCAAGCGUUAUCCGGCUUUACUGGGUGUAAAGGGGGCGCAGACGGCGAUGCAAGCCAGGAGUGAAUGCCAGGGGCCCCACCCCGGGAAUGCUCUUGGAACUGCGUGGCUGGAGUGCAGGAGGGGCAGGCGGAAUUCCUGGUGUAGCGGUGAAGUGCGUAGAUAUCAGGCGGAACACCGGGGGCGAAGGCUGCCUGCUGGACUGCAACUGACGUUGAGGCCCGAAAGCGUGGGGAGCAAACAGGAUUAGAUACCCGGGUAGUC